RNAcentral lists this long non-coding RNA (1967 nucleotides) under Homo sapiens (human). RNAcentral's name for it is "HSALNT0075588". The record is from RNAcentral. Lineage: Eukaryota; Metazoa; Chordata; Mammalia; Primates; Hominidae.
GUGCAAUCACAGCUCACUGCUCACUGCAAACUACACUUCCCAGGCUUAAGCAAUCCUUCCACCUCAGCCUCCCAAGUAGCUGGGACUACAGGUGCACACUACCAUGCCUGGCAAAUUUUUGUAUUUUUUGUGGAGACAGAGUUUUGCCAUGUUGUCCAGGCUAGUCUUAAACUCCUACGCUCAAGUGAGUUUAAGUCUUAAACUCCUACUCCUCCAGCCUUGGCCUCCCAAAGUGCUGGGAUUACAGGUGUGAGCCACCAUGCUUGGCCUAUGCCUCUUUAUUUAUCAUAGAUGGCGCAAUAUUCUACCACCCGUCUUUACCUUAUAACACAUGUAUUGGAUUGUUGUAUUCUUCAAAAUUUCAACAAUAUGGUAGGCCUCUGAAUCUCUAUGGAAUUAUUUCUCACUAUGUACUUACUUGGGCAUGUAGGGUAUUUGCCACUUCUUGCUCAUAAGUCACAUUAGCAUCAUGCCACUCAUGUAGUCGACCAGAAUUAUGUUUUGCAGAAUGUCAAGAUGAAGUUACCUGAAAAUGAUGACGGAACAAGAGAAGGAGAAAGCAGCCUGGAUCACAUAUCGGCUUUGGCCUGCUUCUUUCCUGUUCUAUGGCUGUGACCUGUACCCUCCCGGAACCCUCCUUGGAAGGAACAACUUGGCUAACCUGAUUAAUGCUUAGCUGCCAAAAGAUUGAGUUCUCAAUGAAAAUCAUAUGAAGACUUCAGCUGGCAGAGCAACACAAGUGGCUGAGCAGCGAGCAGAGAAGCAACUGAACGUUGGAGACUAUGGAUAGAUGUGGCUAACUUCAGACAGGGCUGCUUCAGAGAGGGGCAGCCGGGCUUCAGGGAGAGAGAGAUCAUUUUCCCGACCGCUUUUCAGUCUCCUUUUCUGCUGAGAGCCAACCACUGCUCAAUAAAGUCUUCUGCAUUCAUCAACCUCUCAAACAGUUCAUGUGACUUGAUUCUUCCUGGAUGCUGGACAAGAACCUGGGUGCUGAGAGGUCAGAGGCUGCCACCUUGACCCUCCAGUGAGCUGGUUGGCACUCCCCUGUCCCUGGACGGCUGAUCUGACAGAGUAUUGGUCAUAACAUGCUUGGACUCUGGCCAGUUCCAGUGUUUGUUCGCUUCAGUUCCUGCACUUGCUCGCUCGCACCCUCCCUCCUGAGCGGAGGAGUGGCCAGCGGUGGGCAGAGUGAAAGAACCACUCCAGUUCCUGCCUGCGAAGGGGGUAAACAAAGUAUCCCAUCACAUCAAGAUACCUCUGAAUAUGAACAGCUAGGAAUCUGAUGGCUGCAAAGAUGACUAUUACCCAAAUUGUGAAGAAGAGAAAGAGAAGGAAAACCAGAACCCUGAAGAUAGACAAAAUUAUUAUGUGCAAGUAGCCAAUGACAUGAGGCAGCAGGAAUUUGACACUUUUGAUAAUGAGGCAUACCAGUGGUCAUCAUCCCAACCUACAGGAGUUCAAGGGCAUCCUAAACAAGUACAUAGCCAUAUUAGUCUUAAUGCUACUAUAGGAAAUUAUAUAGGAAAGAAAAAUCUUUUCAAUAAAUGGUGCUGGAAAAAUUAGAUGGACAUAUGGAAAAAGAUUAGUCUCAAUCCUUACCUCAUGCUACACAAAAAACUAAUUUUGAGAUGCAUCAUGGACCUAAACUCAAAAGCUAAAACUAAAAGGCUUCUAGAGAAAAACAGAAGAAUAUCUUCAUGACUGUGGGGUUGGCAAAGAUUUUUUUCCAUGAGACCGAAAAGUACCAACCUCAAAAAAACUAACACAUUGGGUUUAAUCAAAAUGUAAAACCAUAAGAGACACCGUUAAGCAAAUGAAUAAACAAGCCAGGACCAAAAGAAAAUAUUUGUAAUACAUACAUCUGACAAAGGAUGUGUAUCUAGGGGAUGGAAAGAAUUCUUACAACUCAGUAAUAAAGAUAACUCAGUUUUAAAAUUUGUCAAAGUGACAUUUGUAAGCAAAAAAAA